UACGUAGGGGGCAAGCGUUGUUCGGAAUUACUGGGCGUAAAGGGUUCGUAGGCGGCGCGGCAAGUUGGGUGUGAAAUCUCUGGGCUUAACCCAGAGGCUGCUUCCAAAACUGCUGUGCUUGAGUGUGGGAGAGGCGCAUGGAAUUGCAGGUGUAGCGGUGAAAUGCGUAGAUAUCUGCAGGAACACCCGUGGCGAAAGCGGCGCGCUGGACCACUACUGACGCUGAGGAACGAAAGCUAGGGGAGCAAACAGG
RNAcentral lists this ribosomal RNA (253 nucleotides) under uncultured bacterium. RNAcentral describes it as "partial 16S ribosomal RNA". It matches the Rfam family "Bacterial small subunit ribosomal RNA", at positions 524 to 776 of the family's 1533-position model. The record is from RNAcentral.